Molecule: ribosomal RNA, 253 nt
Filed under: uncultured bacterium
Lineage: Bacteria
Description: partial 16S ribosomal RNA
Rfam family: Bacterial small subunit ribosomal RNA
Source: RNAcentral
UACAGAGGUCCCAAGCGUUGUUCGGAAUUACUGGGCGUAAAGGGCGCGUAGGCGGCCUGGCAAGUGGAAGGUGAAAUCCCUCGGCUUAACCGAGGAACUGCCUCCCAAACUGCUUGGCUUGAGACCGGGAGAGGUGAGUGGAAUUCCCAGUGUAGCGGUGAGAUGCGUAGAUAUUGGGAGGGACACCAGUGGCGAAGGCGGCUCACUGGACCGGUACUGACGCUGAUGCGCGAAAGCGUGGGGAGCAAACGGG